GGUGCCAUGGGAGGGAUACCAAUCCAGCCUUAGGAAAAGAAACUUUCCACGGGAGUCUUGGAGAUUGGCAACCGUCCUAAUGACUUA
RNAcentral lists this microRNA precursor (87 nucleotides) under Equus caballus (horse). RNAcentral's name for it is "mir-9014 microRNA precursor family". It matches the Rfam family "mir-9014 microRNA precursor family". The record is from Rfam by way of RNAcentral. Lineage: Eukaryota; Metazoa; Chordata; Mammalia; Perissodactyla; Equidae.